UACGGAGGAUCCAAGCGUUAUCCGGAAUCAUUGGGUUUAAAGGGUCCGUAGGCGGUUUUGUAAGUCAGUGGUGAAAGCCCAUCGCUCAACGGUGGAACGGCCAUUGAUACUGCAAGGCUUGAAUUACUAGGAAGUAACUAGAAUAUGUAGUGUAGCGGUGAAAUGCUUAGAUAUUACAUGGAAUACCAAUUGCGAAGGCAGGUUACUACUAGUGGAUUGACGCUGAUGGACGAAAGCGUGGGGAGCGAACAGG
RNAcentral lists this ribosomal RNA (253 nucleotides) under uncultured bacterium. RNAcentral's name for it is "partial 16S ribosomal RNA". It matches the Rfam family "Bacterial small subunit ribosomal RNA", at positions 524 to 776 of the family's 1533-position model. The record is from RNAcentral.